GGUUGAUCCUGCCAGUAGUCAUAUGCUUGUUUCAAAGAUUAAGCCAUGCAAGUCUAAGUAUAAGUUGACUUCUAUGACAAAACUGCGAAUGGCUCAUUACAACAGUUGUAAUCUUCACGAUGAUCUACUUAAAUGGAUAUCCAUGGUAAUUCUGAGGUUAACACAUGCAUCUAUCUUCGGAUGGCAAUCAUUUGUUUCAGAAACCACUAAGGGUGUUAUGCCUUUAUUGUUGGUGAUCAAGGUGAUGAAGCGGAUCGCUUCGGCGACAAUUCGUUCGAGCUUCUGACCUAUC
This 292-nucleotide ribosomal RNA is filed under the name uncultured eukaryote. RNAcentral's name for it is "partial 18S ribosomal RNA". It matches the Rfam family "Eukaryotic small subunit ribosomal RNA", at positions 6 to 316 of the family's 1831-position model. The record is from RNAcentral.